UGGGGAAUCUUGGACAAUGGGCGCAAGCCUGAUCCAGCCAUGCCGCGUGAGUGAAGAAGGCCUUCGGGUUGUAAAGCUCUUUUACCAGGGACGAUAAUGACGGUACCUGGAGAAUAAGCCCCGGCAAACUUCGUGCCAGCAGCCGCGGUAAUACGAAGGGGGCUAGCGUUAUUCGGAAUUACUGGGCGUAAAGCGCACGUAGGCGGAUUGUUAAGUCAGAGGUGAAAUCCCGGAGCUCAACUUCGGAACUGCCUUUGAUACUGGCAAUCUAGAGUCCGGAAGAGGUUAGUGGAAUUCCCAGUGUAGAGGUGAAAUUCGUAGAUAUUGGGAAGAACACCAGUGGCGAAGGCGGCUAACUGGUCCGGUACUGACGCUGAGGUGCGAAAGCGUGGGGAGCAAACAGGAUUAGAUACCCAAGUAGUCCCUGAGCGGGCUGGCAAGGCGCAU
This 447-nucleotide ribosomal RNA is filed under the name uncultured bacterium. RNAcentral describes it as "bacterial SSU rRNA". It matches the Rfam family "Bacterial small subunit ribosomal RNA", at positions 355 to 825 of the family's 1533-position model. The record is from RNAcentral.